ACUCCAAAGAACUCUCGAGGACGGGAGGUGGUGCACCACCGAAGGAGCCAUCCGCCGUGGACACCGCGAUAAAAGACGCUCUCCCUCACGAAUUUGUUAGAGACACGAGUGCUUACGACGACGACGUGGAAAUGGACGGAGAAACAACGACCGCACCAGAGCAACGUUUCGACUGCGUCCAAGAAGAUUGUGUAUUGGUGGAAGAGGCCACACUGGAGCACGUACCUACACCAGUGGAGUUGCUGCUAAGCACCCAAGUGCCUGCGCCGGAACACCUUGAUGAACCGGAAGAGGUGCUGCUGAACACCCGACCAUCCAAC
Ixodes scapularis (black-legged tick) is the source of this 320-nucleotide long non-coding RNA. RefSeq lists it as uncharacterized. Lineage: Eukaryota; Metazoa; Arthropoda; Arachnida; Ixodida; Ixodidae. The record is from RefSeq and is a predicted model, not a curated record. The transcript has 4 exons.